GGGCCCGCACAAGCAGUGGAGUAUGUGGUUUAAUUCGAAGCAACGCGAAGAACCUUACCAGGUCUUGACAUGGGGAUGACCGGUAUAGAGAUAUACCUUUCCUUCGGGACAUCCCACACAGGUGGUGCAUGGUUGUCGUCAGCUCGUGUCGUGAGAUGUUGGGUUAAGUCCCGCAACGAGCGCAACCCUUAUGAUUAGUUGCUACGCAAGAGCACUCUAGUCAGACUGCCGUUGACAAAACGGAGGAAGGUGGGGAUGAUGUCAAAUCAUCAUGCCCCUUAUGACCUGGGCCACACACGUACUACAAUGGCCGCUAACAACGGGAAGCAAAACAGCAAUGUGGAGCAAAACCCCAAAAGCGGUCUCAGUUCGGAUUGCAGGCUGAAACUCGCCUGCAUGAAGUUGGAAUUGCUAGUAAUCGCGGAUCAGCAUGCCGCGGUGAAUACG
This 447-nucleotide ribosomal RNA is filed under the name uncultured Eubacteriales bacterium. Its description in RNAcentral is "bacterial SSU rRNA". It matches the Rfam family "Bacterial small subunit ribosomal RNA", at positions 917 to 1370 of the family's 1533-position model. The record is from RNAcentral. Lineage: Bacteria; Bacillati; Bacillota; Clostridia; Eubacteriales.